GUAGUGGUUACAGUGUUUUUUUUUUUUAAUUUUUGUUUUACAGUUGAUCUACAAUGUUCUGUCAAUUCUGCUGUACGGCAAAGUGACCCAGUUACAUAUGUAUAUACAUUCUGUUUCUCAUAUACAGUCUUUUUUAAUCCACUAAUCAAAUGGCUUGGAGUUAAAUUCACGGAUUGCUCUGGAAGUGUGGGAAGAUGCAGCACAAGAAUCAGGUGCCAUUUUUGGAAAAUAUUCAUGGAAAAUGGAGAGAACUCUCCAGACUCCAGAUCCAGAGAUACAUGGUCUUUAGCUUUGGAGUUUGGAUGUUACUGUCUCAUUAACUAAUCCAGGAAGCUGAGGCAUCACAUAAGGGUAAAGGGAUUGGAGGUCUCACAAACACUGAGACUCAGGGUCAUACCCCAUGUCAAUGGGAUCAAAUAGCUUUUGCCUCUAAACCAGAAAGGACAAUGAAGACUCUAGCAGAAAAUUUACUAUAAGAAAUAGAGAUUUUGAAUCAAAAGGCUAGACUCAUCACCAAGAUAUAAAUGAGGCUUUCUACAGGUAUCUGCUCAACUGAAUUUUCACAGCUCUGGCCGGGAGGUGGUUAUAGAGCCUAGAAGAAAAGGUCAAUUGGGUGUUUUGAAAUCGCAGAGCCCAGGACUUACUCAGCAACACUGAUCAGUGUCCCAUGAAUUUAUGAGACCAUUUGAGGGAGGAGGCCUUCAAGAAAAGACCUGUGAGUCAGCCACAACCCCCAUCCAUCAGCUCAAGUGGUCAUUUUUCCAUCACAGGCUUGUGUAACCCGGGAACCACAGGUCUGUUCUCAUCCAUCCUCUGUGUCUCCUUCCCUCCUGAGCAUAUUCAGCUGAGACUGCACAGGCCCUUGUUAGAGUCACCCUCUCACAAAUGCCUCCCGAGGGAACUGAAACCCUGUGUACCUGUCCAAGAAACUCAGGUCCCUCUCUCCCUCACUACAGGUAACCACUUGAACCUACCAUUACCUUGGUAAUGUCUUUAAUACUAUUUUUAGUGCUAUUACUACUUAUGCAUGC
This 1031-nucleotide long non-coding RNA is filed under the name Sus scrofa (pig). RNAcentral describes it as "lncRNA (ENSSSCG00035005174.1)". Lineage: Eukaryota; Metazoa; Chordata; Mammalia; Artiodactyla; Suidae. The record is from RNAcentral.